UGGGCCGGUCGUCUAAUGGCCAAGACAUGGGCCUGUGCAGCCUUGAACGGCGGUUCGAUUCCGUCCCGGCCAGCCA
RNAcentral lists this transfer RNA (76 nucleotides) under Terriglobia bacterium. Its description in RNAcentral is "tRNA-His". It matches the Rfam family "tRNA". From Rfam's summary of the family: Transfer RNA (tRNA) molecules are approximately 80 nucleotides in length. Lineage: Bacteria; Pseudomonadati; Acidobacteriota; Terriglobia. The record is from RNAcentral.